This 61-nucleotide transfer RNA is filed under the name Ictidomys tridecemlineatus (thirteen-lined ground squirrel). Its description in RNAcentral is "Spermophilus tridecemlineatus (thirteen-lined ground squirrel) tRNA". It matches the Rfam family "tRNA", at positions 6 to 65 of the family's 71-position model. From Rfam's summary of the family: Transfer RNA (tRNA) molecules are approximately 80 nucleotides in length. Their secondary structure includes four short double-helical elements and three loops (D, anti-codon, and T loops). Further hydrogen bonds mediate the characteristic L-shaped molecular structure. tRNAs have two regions of fundamental functional importance: the anti-codon, which is responsible for specific mRNA codon recognition, and the 3' end, to which the tRNAs corresponding amino acid is attached (by aminoacyl-tRNA synthetases). tRNAs cope with the degeneracy of the genetic code in two manners: having more than one tRNA (with a specific anti-codon) for a particular amino acid; and 'wobble' base-pairing, i.e. permitting non-standard base-pairing at the 3rd anti-codon position. Lineage: Eukaryota; Metazoa; Chordata; Mammalia; Rodentia; Sciuridae. The record is from Rfam by way of RNAcentral.
UGUAGCUCAGUGGCAGAGCACUUGCCUAGCAUGCGUGAGGCACUGGGUUCAAUCCUCAGCA